GGCGCCAUGGCUUAGUUGGUAAAGCGCCUGUCUAGUAAACACGAGACCCUGGGUUCAAAUCCCAGUGGUGCGUCA
This 75-nucleotide transfer RNA is filed under the name Petromyzon marinus (sea lamprey). RNAcentral describes it as "tRNA-Thr (AGT) (tRNA-Thr-AGT-27-1)". It matches the Rfam family "tRNA". From Rfam's summary of the family: Transfer RNA (tRNA) molecules are approximately 80 nucleotides in length. Their secondary structure includes four short double-helical elements and three loops (D, anti-codon, and T loops). Further hydrogen bonds mediate the characteristic L-shaped molecular structure. tRNAs have two regions of fundamental functional importance: the anti-codon, which is responsible for specific mRNA codon recognition, and the 3' end, to which the tRNAs corresponding amino acid is attached (by aminoacyl-tRNA synthetases). tRNAs cope with the degeneracy of the genetic code in two manners: having more than one tRNA (with a specific anti-codon) for a particular amino acid; and 'wobble' base-pairing, i.e. permitting non-standard base-pairing at the 3rd anti-codon position. The record is from RNAcentral. Lineage: Eukaryota; Metazoa; Chordata; Hyperoartia; Petromyzontiformes; Petromyzontidae.